This 1402-nucleotide long non-coding RNA is filed under the name Mytilus galloprovincialis (Mediterranean mussel). The record is from RNAcentral. Lineage: Eukaryota; Metazoa; Mollusca; Bivalvia; Mytilida; Mytilidae.
UAAUCAAAACAGUCACUAGUAAGUACAUAAUGUAGUAAAAUGGAAUUGCUUGAUAAUCAAUACAGUAAUAAUGUCUUUGAAGACUAAACCAAAGUUUGUCAUGUUUGUGGAGUAAAUUUAUAAAUUUUACAAAUUUAAUCCAUUUCAAAGUUAAUUACAGAAUUUUUAUUGUUUGUAAGUUAGUUUAAAAUCAUGAAUAAAUUAUUGGAUUAUUCCACAAAUUGCUGAUGAGGUAUUUUUCUUUUGUUGGUCAAUACCCCCAAAUUUCGGCAGAGAUAGAAUAGUAUGGAAAAUAUAACAUCAUCUGUCAGCAAUAUAGACAACAUUAAUUCUGCUGUUACAUUUAAAAGUGUGAUGGAUAUCCUUUCCACUGUCUGAACUUGCUUUUUGAAAUCUAUGACAAACUUUGCUUUAAAAAAUUCGGAUUUAAGGUUAAUAAUUGCAAUAAUAUCAAAAUGAAAUAUUUUUUGAAGUUAAUCUUUAUGUAUAUUUAUUUGAUAAGCAUUAUGCACCAAGUUUUGUUUCACUGCACAUAUAUACACUGAAUAUUCAGAAAUUAUUACAAGGCUUAUAUUAAUGCGAUAAAGAGACUACUUGAGUAGCACAAUAAUAAGACAGUGCAUUCUGAUACCAAAUACAUAAAUCAGUAUGAAGCUUUUCAAAAAUUGCAAUUAUAAGACAUCAAAUAAAAGAUGCUGGCAAUAAUGUCUGAAUUUAUAGUAUAUAUUUAACAUCUAAUCCCUGGUAUCAAGAACUGUUUUGAAAUAUUUACAAAAUGUACAAAAAAAAUAUUGUAAAGGUUAGAUUCAAUAUGAGAAUGAAGAUUUUAUAUGUGUAAACAAAUAUAAAAUGUGCUUGAAAACAUUUUAAAACUACCAUAUCAUAUGUUCAACAAUAUUUACAAAAAAAAAAAUUGAAGAUAAAUGAUAAUCUUUAUUUGGAAUUGAAUCAAGGUAACUAACACAAACUGAAGUAUUCCUCUUUGUUAGUAUGAGCAUUUGGGCUAUCAAUCAAAAUAUAGUUAUUGUCAUGCUAUUGAGUUACAACCAACAACAAAAAAAAAAAAUUAAAUGGUUGGGUUGAAAAAAAUGUUUCUUUCACAAUGGAGUUGCCUAUACUGAAAAUUCAAUUUAUGAAAAUAUAAAAUGGAAAUAAAGGGGUGAAAAAACAUUAAAUAUGUCUAAAAUGAAAGAUGGACAACCUGAAUAGGUUUGCAAAUUUUUUUGUGUAGUCCCAAAGAUCUGUAUUAAAAACCAAAAAAAUAUUGCCAAUCUGGAAAAAAGGAAUAAAUUCCUGGAUUAGAUUUUUCUGUAAAUUAGAGAUCUUAGUUCAAAACUGAUGAAGGGGUGGAUUAUUUUUAAAUUAACUUUUUUACACAUUUACUUUUUUGGACGAUUUUUUU